AGCGAACGCUGGCGGCAGGCUUAACACAUGCAAGUCGAACGAACUCUUCGGAGUUAGUGGCGGUCGGGGGGGGAACACCGGGGAAGUUGCCCGUAGGUUCGGAACAAUUCAGUUUAAGUUGAGUUAAUACAGGAUGGGCUCUUCGCGGGAAAGAUUUCUUGCUUUUGGAGCGGGCCGCGUCUGAUUAGCCGGUUGGUGAGGUAAAGGCUGGUCAAGGCGACGUUCAGUGGCUGGUCUGAGAGGAGGACCAGCCACAUUGGGACUGAGACACGGCCCAAACUCCUACGGGGGGCUGCAGUAGGGAGUCUUGCGCAAUGGGCGAAAGCCUGACGCAGCCAUGCCGCGUGAAUGAUGAAGGUCUUAGGAUUGUAAAAUUCUUUCACCGGAGACGAUAGUGACGGUACCCGGAGAAGAAGCCCCGGCUAACUUCGUG
RNAcentral lists this ribosomal RNA (433 nucleotides) under uncultured bacterium. RNAcentral describes it as "partial 16S ribosomal RNA". It matches the Rfam family "Bacterial small subunit ribosomal RNA", at positions 29 to 507 of the family's 1533-position model. The record is from RNAcentral.